UUUUUGGAGAGUUUGAUCCUGGCUCAGAGUGAACGCUGGCGGCGUGGAUUAGGCAUGCAAGUCGAGCGAACCCGCAAGGGUUAGCGGCAAAAGGGUGAGUAACACGUAAGUAAUUUUCCUUUAAGUCGGGGAUAGCAUCGUGAAAACGGUGGUAAUACCCGAUGUUAUCGGUUGUUCGCAUGAAUAUCCGAUCAAAGACGGGGACCGCAAGGCCUGUCGUUUAAAGAUGAGCUUGCGUACCAUCAGCUAGUUGGUAGGGUAACGGCCUACCAAGGCUAAGACGGUUAGCUGGUCUGAGAGGACGACCA
This 308-nucleotide ribosomal RNA is filed under the name Candidatus Omnitrophota bacterium. Its description in RNAcentral is "bacterial SSU rRNA". It matches the Rfam family "Bacterial small subunit ribosomal RNA", at positions 1 to 306 of the family's 1533-position model. Lineage: Bacteria; Pseudomonadati; Candidatus Omnitrophota. The record is from RNAcentral.